GAGAGCCCCGAUCUCAUCUGAUCUCGGAAGCUAAGC
This 36-nucleotide ribosomal RNA is filed under the name Prolemur simus (greater bamboo lemur). Lineage: Eukaryota; Metazoa; Chordata; Mammalia; Primates; Lemuridae. The record is from RNAcentral.